RNAcentral lists this ribosomal RNA (253 nucleotides) under uncultured bacterium. Its description in RNAcentral is "partial 16S ribosomal RNA". It matches the Rfam family "Bacterial small subunit ribosomal RNA", at positions 524 to 776 of the family's 1533-position model. The record is from RNAcentral.
UACGUAGGCAGCAAGCGUUGUUCGGAAUUACUGGGCGUAAAGGGUGCGUAGGCGGCUUUUUAAGUUUGGUGUGAAAGCCCCGGGCUCAACCUGGGAACUGCAUUUGGGACUGCAAGGCUGGAGUACGGCAGAGGGAGGUGGAAUUCCACGUGUAGCAGUGAAAUGCGUAGAGAUGUGGAGGAACACCGAUGGCGAAGGCAGCCUCCUGGGCUAGUACUGACGCUCAUGCACGAAAGCGUGGGGAGCAAACAGG